Ornithorhynchus anatinus (platypus) is the source of this 138-nucleotide small nucleolar RNA. NCBI's taxonomy places the organism in Eukaryota, Metazoa, Chordata, Mammalia, Monotremata, Ornithorhynchidae. The record is from RefSeq and is a predicted model, not a curated record.
AGCCUCUCAGGGUCGCACCUGGAGAGUUUCCAGUACUUUACCAGUCUCGGCUACAGAAGGGAGAGUCAAGCAGCGGCUUGUCCAUUCCAUUCCUAGCUUGGGCAGUGGCUAGCAAGUGGAAGGCAAUCUGCUUCAAGU